RNAcentral lists this ribosomal RNA (1343 nucleotides) under uncultured bacterium. Its description in RNAcentral is "16S ribosomal RNA". It matches the Rfam family "Bacterial small subunit ribosomal RNA", at positions 28 to 1378 of the family's 1533-position model. The record is from RNAcentral.
GACGAACGCUGGCGGCGUGCUUAACACAUGCAAGUCGAACGGAAAGGCCCUGCUUUUGUGGGGUGCUCGAGUGGCGAACGGGUGAGUAACACGUGAGUAACCUGCCCUUGACUUUGGGAUAACUUCAGGAAACUGGGGCUAAUACCGGAUAGGAGCUCCUGCUGCAUGGUGGGGGUUGGAAAGUUUCGGCGGUUGGGGAUGGACUCGCGGCUUAUCAGCUUGUUGGUGGGGUAGUGGCUUACCAAGGCUUUGACGGGUAGCCGGCCUGAGAGGGUGACCGGCCACAUUGGGACUGAGAUACGGCCCAGACUCCUACGGGAGGCAGCAGUGGGGAAUAUUGCACAAUGGGCGGAAGCCUGAUGCAGCAACGCCGCGUGCGGGAUGACGGCCUUCGGGUUGUAAACCGCUUUCGCCUGUGACGAAGCGUGAGUGACGGUAAUGGGUAAAGAAGCACCGGCUAACUACGUGCCAGCAGCCGCGGUGAUACGUAGGGUGCGAGCGUUGUCCGGAUUUAUUGGGCGUAAAGGGCUCGUAGGUGGUUGAUCGCGUCGGAAGUGUAAUCUUGGGGCUUAACCCUGAGCGUGCUUUCGAUACGGGUUGACUUGAGGAAGGUAGGGGAGAAUGGAAUUCCUGGUGGAGCGGUGGAAUGCGCAGAUAUCAGGAGGAACACCAGUGGCGAAGGCGGUUCUCUGGGCCUUUCCUGACGCUGAGGAGCGAAAGCGUGGGGAGCGAACAGGCUUAGAUACCCUAGUAGUCCACGCUGUAAACGGUGGGUACUAGGUGUGGGGUCCAUUCCACGGGUUCCGUGCCGUAGCUAACGCUUUAAGUACCCCGCCUGGGGAGUACGGCCGCAAGGCUAAAACUCAAAGGAAUUGACGGGGCCCCGCACAAGCGGCGGAGCAUGCGGAUUAAUUCGAUGCAACGCGUAGAACCUUACCUGGGUUUGACAUGGAUCGGGAGUGCUCAGAGAUGGGUGUGCCUCUUUUGGGGUCGGUUCACAGGUGGUGCAUGCCUGUCGUCAGCUCGUGUCGUGAGAUGUUGGGUUAAGUCCCGCAACGAGCGCAACCCUUGUUCACUGUUGCCAGCACGUUAUGGUGGGGACUCAGUGGAGACCGCCGGGGUCAACUCGGAGGAAGGUGGGGAUGACGUCAAGUCCUCAUGCCCCUUAUGUCCAGGGCUUCACGCAUGCUACAAUGGCUGGUACAGAGAGUGGCGAGCCUGUGAGGGUGAGCGAAUCUCGGAAAGCCGGUCUCAGUUCGGAUUGGGGUCUGCAACUCGACCUCAUGAAGUCGGAGUCGCUAGUAAUCGCAAAUCAGCAACGCUGCGGUGAAUACGUUCCCGGG